This 253-nucleotide ribosomal RNA is filed under the name uncultured microorganism. Its description in RNAcentral is "partial 16S ribosomal RNA". It matches the Rfam family "Bacterial small subunit ribosomal RNA", at positions 524 to 776 of the family's 1533-position model. The record is from RNAcentral.
AACGUAGGGGGCGAGCGUUACUCGGAUUUACUGGGUGUAAAGGGGGCGUAGGCGGCCCGGCAAGUCAAGUGUGAAAUCCCUGGGCUCAACCUAGGAAUUGCGCUUGUGACUGGCGGGCUCGAGUACGGUAGAGGGGGGUGGAAUUCCUGGUGUAGCAGUGAAAUGCGUAGAGAUCAGGAGGAACACCGAUGGCGAAGGCAGCCCCCUGGGCCUGUACUGACGCUCAUGCACGAAAGCGUGGGGAGCAAACAGG